RNAcentral lists this unclassified non-coding RNA (209 nucleotides) under Hevea brasiliensis (rubber tree). The record is from RNAcentral. Lineage: Eukaryota; Viridiplantae; Streptophyta; Magnoliopsida; Malpighiales; Euphorbiaceae.
UUCCACUAUGCCUCUAAGUUUUCCACCUUCCGGCAGCUUCGAAGCAAAUUCCUCCGCCGCCCUGUCCACAUCGUCCGCCACUUUUUCCACCGCUUCCGCCACCUUCUCCACCGUCUCCGCCGCAAGUGAAACUUGCUUUGUUACUGUCAAUAAUCUUGCUGUUAUCAGAGGUACUGUUACACCUAAUCCCACAGCCCAGCUAACCCACG